RNAcentral lists this unclassified non-coding RNA (200 nucleotides) under Lasiosphaeriaceae sp. RNAcentral describes it as "partial internal transcribed spacer 2". The record is from RNAcentral. Lineage: Eukaryota; Fungi; Ascomycota; Sordariomycetes; Sordariales; Lasiosphaeriaceae.
CUAAGUUCAGCGGGUAUUCCUACCUGAUCCGAGGUCAACCUUGAGAAGGGGGGUGUUUAACGGCAAGAACCCGCCGCACGUCCAAAGCGAGAUGUAUUACUACGCUCGGGGUGACAGCGAGCCCGCCACUGGUUUCAGGGCCUGCGGCAGCCGCAGGUCCCCAACACAAGCCGGGGGCUUGAUGGUUGAAAUGACGCUCG